CCCGGGCCUUGUACACACCGCCCGUCACGCCAUGGAAGCCGGGAGUGCCCGAAGUCCGUGACCCAACCGCAAGGAGGGAGCGGCCGAAGGUAAGAUCGGUGACUGGGGCG
This 110-nucleotide ribosomal RNA is filed under the name uncultured bacterium. Its description in RNAcentral is "partial 16S ribosomal RNA". It matches the Rfam family "Bacterial small subunit ribosomal RNA", at positions 1373 to 1482 of the family's 1533-position model. The record is from RNAcentral.